RNAcentral lists this long non-coding RNA (200 nucleotides) under Elaeis guineensis (African oil palm). Its description in RNAcentral is "long non-coding RNA (EGUI_LNC035283)". Lineage: Eukaryota; Viridiplantae; Streptophyta; Magnoliopsida; Arecales; Arecaceae. The record is from RNAcentral.
AGAAUCGGCUGGCUUGGCUCCAACUCAGGUACCCAAGUGGCACUAGGAUGAAGGCCGAGCAAUGGCCGGCCUUCUGAAUUAGGUAGAUUCAUAUUCGAAAGAGACUAACAAUAAAUUUUUUUAAAAUUGAUUAUUUAUUGUUCCAUAAAAGAUGUACAAAAAUGUCUGCUUUACGAAUAAAUGGAUUAGAUAAAAAAUGA